Molecule: ribosomal RNA, 514 nt
Filed under: uncultured bacterium
Lineage: Bacteria
Description: bacterial SSU rRNA
Rfam family: Bacterial small subunit ribosomal RNA
Source: RNAcentral
AGAGUUGAUCAUGGCUCAGGACGAACGCUGGCGGCGUGCUUAACACAUGCAAGUCGAACGAGGAUAUGCCAGAGGAGAGCUCGGCAGGAAUCGGGCAUAUUCGAGUGGCGGACGGGUGAGUAACGCGUGAGCAACCUGUCCCAGACAGGGGGAUAACACUUGGAAACAGGUGCUAAUACCGCAUAAGACCACGGUAUCACAUGGUAUUGGGGUAAAAGGAGCAAUCCGGUUUGGGGUGGGCUCGCGUCCGAUUAGAUAGUUGGUGAGGUAACGGCCCACCAAGUCGACGAUCGGUAGCCGACCUGAGAGGGUGAUCGGCCACAUUGGAACUGAGAGACGGUCCAAACUCCUACGGGAGGCAGCAGUGGGGAAUAUUGGGCAAUGGGCGAAAGCCUGACCCAGCAACGCCGCGUGAGUGAAGAAGGCCUUCGGGUUGUAAAGCUCUGUUAUAGUUGACGAAGGAAGUGACGGUAGGCUAUAAGGAAGCCCCGGCUAACUACGUGCCAGCCGCCGC